UAAAGCAGAAGCUAACACACCAUUGUAAAGCAAUUAUACUCCAAUAAAGAUGUUAAAAAAAAUUAAAAAUAUUUUCUAUCCCCUAAUAACUAUUAAAACUAUUAUCCUCUUCAAACAUCUUUUAAAAGGUAGUCACCAUAUGCAGUAUUUUUUCACCAGCCUUUCUUCAACUUCCUAGAGUCUAGUAUUUACUAUAUGUCAUAUUUCAAUAUCUCUGAAAUUAGAAAUAAAUCUUACAUGCAGUGGCAUCUUUACAACUCUAAUUGGCAUUCUUUUGUUUGUUUUCAAGUAGUGUGUAAAUGAAUGGGGCAUCUUUGAAAUGAUGGCAUCUUAAGAGUCAAUGAACUAUGAUAUGUAUAAUGCACAGUGGAAAGAUUCCAGAUUAGAAUCUCCCCAAGUGUAUAGGAAUACAAGAGAUUUCUGUGUCUUGGGGUUGUAUCCUGCAACUUUACUGAAUUCAUCGAUAGACUGUAAAAUAAAGACUGUUACAAGAGACAAAGAAGGACACUACGUAAUGAUCAAGGAAUCAAUCCAAGAAGAAGAUAUAACAAUUGGCAUUUACCAGUUCAAAUCAUGGGGCAUGAUAAUAUGGAAGAAGGUGGCCUAGAGCUGUGGUAAUCUCACUGAGCCAGAGAAACAAUACAUCCAGGACUGGAGGAGUUAAGUUCCCAGAGAAAAGGGAACCAAAGAAAAAUACUACACUGAUGACUCACAUAUGGACUCAAAUUUGGACUGGAACAUCUCCAAAAACUCAACCUCAUGUGUUUGAAUUAUAAAUAUGACAGCUGAAUAUCAAAACCAGCUAACUCUGAGUGACCUAAACCUGCAUAUUUAAAUAAGUGAUUUAAAAGAAUGUUUAUUAAUUUGUUUGGUUUCAAAUCUGAACUUUUUAAAACUGGAAAUGUUGAAAGUACUUGCACAUACAUUACAUGGAAUAGUAUCAUCAAAGUGUGAAAUUCCAGUGCUUUGCUGAGUCCAUUAAUAGCUCUAGAUGAGGCAGAGAAAAUAACUACUGAAGUUGUUAUAAAAGUCAUUGAAAAGUAUUUAGAAUACUUUCCAGAGUCUCUCUUUGACAUUUCAUGAACAUGUCCCUGAGAAUUUUUUGAAUAAAUUUGACCAAAUUGUCAG
Physeter macrocephalus (sperm whale) is the source of this 1128-nucleotide long non-coding RNA. RefSeq lists it as uncharacterized. The record is from RefSeq and is a predicted model, not a curated record. The transcript has 4 exons. NCBI's taxonomy places the organism in Eukaryota, Metazoa, Chordata, Mammalia, Artiodactyla, Physeteridae.